UAAAACUCUUGAAACAAACCUAAUUAAAAAACCUCUCUUUCUUCCCCAAAAGCAAACCCGUUAAAACUCCUCAAAAAAACCUAUUUUGCUAGCAGACUAAAGAAUCAAUGAAGAAACAACAAAUCAAGCAAAAGAUUGCUAUCUAUCCUCUCUCAAACGCUGACACAAGCACGACCAUGGGUUUCCUCUCUCAAACGCAGAACCAAGCUCGACCAUGGGUUUCCUCUCUCAAACACAGAAACAAGCUCGACCGUGGGUGCAAACGUUUUCAAUCUCUGACCCGGCCGCCAUAUCAGAUCAUUCUCUCUAGGGAAACACUAAUAGAAAAUCAAAUUCUACAGGUUUUGUAAGAAAAUAUUGUGGAUAUGAAUGGCUUUUUUUUGUGGAGAUAGUAUUGAAUAGCCUCCCAACCCUCCAAAUCUGACAACAAUCCAACAGGAAGGGGUUACUCAGUAUGUGGUUUGACCUAUAAAACUUCAAUGCUGCUAUAUCCUCCUCCUCUCAGGCUGGUGGAAAAUAACCAACCAAUAGUACAAAUGCCAAAGCAAUUCAAACCACAAGUGACAAUUCAAGAAGAGAUGAACAUCAACAGAAGAACCAUAAGUGAAAUAACAAAAGUUAUGUGGGACUCUGGUAAUGAGGUAUAGAAUUCAAAAGCAAUGUGCAACUCACACUAACAUCUGUACUCAGGGAAAACCAAAGGACAUAUUCAGUGUCUACUACGAAGCAACAAAGGAAGAAAAUACAAAAAACACUUUAAAGUUGUCUUUCGAUUUAUUUUAAAUAUUGAUUAAGUAGUUCUUUAAAUUUGUGUUUCAUACAUUUUAUGGAUAAUUGAGGAUAUUAAAGAUUUAAUUCUUCAUU
This is a long non-coding RNA of Quercus lobata, 864 nucleotides long. RefSeq lists it as uncharacterized. NCBI's taxonomy places the organism in Eukaryota, Viridiplantae, Streptophyta, Magnoliopsida, Fagales, Fagaceae. The transcript is spliced from 5 exons. The record is from RefSeq and is a predicted model, not a curated record.